GGCCACGUGGCCGAGCGGCUAGGCGUAGGUCUGCAAAACCUUUUUACAGCGGUUCGAAUCCGCUCGUGGCCU
RNAcentral lists this transfer RNA (72 nucleotides) under Bacteroidota bacterium. RNAcentral describes it as "Bacteroidetes bacterium tRNA-Cys". It matches the Rfam family "tRNA". Rfam says of the family: Transfer RNA (tRNA) molecules are approximately 80 nucleotides in length. Their secondary structure includes four short double-helical elements and three loops (D, anti-codon, and T loops). The record is from RNAcentral. Lineage: Bacteria; Pseudomonadati; Bacteroidota.